This is an RNA transcript of Brachypodium distachyon (stiff brome), 2086 nucleotides long. RefSeq lists it as uncharacterized. NCBI's taxonomy places the organism in Eukaryota, Viridiplantae, Streptophyta, Magnoliopsida, Poales, Poaceae. The record is from RefSeq and is a predicted model, not a curated record. The transcript has 9 exons.
ACCCCGUCUCCCUCUCCCAGUCUCUCACCCCCGUCUCCCUCUCCCAGUCUCUCACCCUCGUCGCUCUCUCGAUCUGCAGCUCCGCCCACUCCCCGGCCUCCCCUGUCUCGCCGGCGUGGCCUCUGGCCCGACCCGCCACCGCCUGCGUGCCCCCGUCGCCCCCACCCCCGGGCUCCCCCGUCCCGGUGGGGCGGCCCGCCUCCCCCCCCCCCGGUCUCCCCCGUCCCGGCCCCACGCCCCCGUUCCUCUCCCCGGCCUCCCCCGUCCCGCCGGCGUGGCCUCUGGCCCGACCCGGCACCGCGCCCCCGCCCCUCUCCGUCGCCCCCACCCUUGGGUUCCUUCACGCAGGCAAGAACAUGAUUUCGUCUUCAAUGUUUCAUUAUAACUAUGGUGGGAUUCAGGCUAAAACGCAAAAUGUAACAUCUGAGGGCGAUUCAGAUGGUGACAAUGAUAUCGUCAUUGUGUCAAGCUGAAACAUAGCAGAAUACCUGCCCAAAGCUACAUAGGAUCACUUUGUCUUGAUCGUAUCAGAGUUCAUAUAUAUUCCAUGGAAAUACAUGAAAGAAGGAGUAACUAAACGAGCAGCUACAAGGGAGGAACUGUGACUGCCAGGACAAACAAUUAUGGAGCAAAAAUUUGGUUUUGAAGCAGAGAAAACUUGACAAACAACAGUCUUUUGUUGUUUUUACUUUUUCUUGCUGAUGUUUCCGAACUACAAACACAUUCUGCAGUACUCAGAGACCUGUGUGGAACUCAGUGAGAAAAGAAAGUCUUAGUGGAAACAAAUGGGCCUCAUAUUGCACGUAUAUCUGUUUUUGAGGGACCAUGGAUUCGAAAUCUUUGCUCGAUGAGAUGGACAAGAAGAUGCACUUGGAGAGGGAGGAGAUGGACAAGAAAGUCAGCAACGAACGUGCAGCCAUAGACAGGGUGAUAAAGCAUGAGCGGGACAAGAUGGACCUCAAGAUCAAGCAAAUUGAUGCAGAGACGGAUAAGAAGUUGACGUUGGAUCGUCAACAAAUGGACAUUAAGGUAAAGCAAGAACGUGCAGCCUUGGAUCAUGCAUUGAAGCUAGAGCGUGAUAAAAUGGUCAAGGAGAUAAAGAAGAUCCGUAAGGACAUGGAUCAGAAGUUGCGGCAGGUGUGGGAUGAGAUGGACCACACUGUACAGCUUGAGCGUGCAAAGAUGGACUCUAGGAAUAUGCAGGCACGUGCAGACAUUGAUCAAAAAUUGCAGCAGAUCGUCAAGAGAUGGAUUCGAAAUCUUUGCUAGAGCAAGUCCGCAUGGAAGCCAAGAUGAUGGAGGACCGUGCGAGGAUAGCUCCAAAGGCUACCGCCGAGCAAAUACAGUUGCAUAGCCCUCCACCUGAAGAACCGGUCUCAUAUUUUCUCCCGGAACUUGUAAUGGAAUUUAGUGUUACCGUGGAUGGGGAAAUUUCUUAUAGUCCGAAAGGAUACUUCGGAGGACGUACCGGUUACAUGAUUGUUAGGGAACCUGACGUUGUGGAGUGGUCGAUGAUGAUGAACCAUUUGCGUGUUCAUGGUUAUAAAUGGGAGGCCGAUUUGUACUACCUUGAGCCUGGUUGCAUACCACCUGACGGAAUGGUCUUAAUGUCAGGCCCAGAGCAUGUAGAACAAAUGAUGCAGGCUCAUAAAGGCAAAAAGAAGUGUCAGUUGUACAUCAUCAGGAAUGGUUCACAGUCAGAUGAUUGUGAUGAUGGCAUGAAUGAAGAGGAUCAAUUUGACCAUUUUAAUUCGUGAGAGCCCAUCGAUAGAUGGGACGAAGGGCACACGCACAAACAUGGAUCAGCUCCACUAAUGGAGCAACCAGCAUCGAAAUCUCAUAAGAAGGCAUUGACUUAUAGCAGUGGCGAUGAGGACUUGGACUCGUAAUCAUUCCGCAUUGAGAAAGAACUAGAUGUUUCAACGGUUUUUUUAGCACGAGAGUUUUUGACACUAUCCAUAGUGACAUUUACUACAGCUUAUGUUUUGCAGCCAGUAAUUGCUGUUUUUUAUGGGCUAUUUUCAGCAUAUGUUUUGCAACCAGUUUUCUUCAUCAUAAGUGUGGAAUAAGCAUUCUUUUGUGUAAA